CCUACGGGGUGCAGCAGUGGGGAAUAUUGCGCAAUGGGCGAAAGCCUGACGCAGCGACGCCGCGUGAGGGAUGAAGGUCUUCGGAUCGUAAACCUCUGUCAGCAGGGAAGAACGGUCACUGUGCUAAUCAGCAGUGAAUUGACGGUACCUGCAAAGGAAGCACCGGCUAAAUCCGUGCCAGCCGCCGCGGUAAUACGGAGGGUGCGAGCGUUAAUCGGAAUUACUGGGCGUAAAGCGCUCGUAGGCGGUAUGUCAAGUCAAGGGUGAAAUCCCCGCGCUCAACGUGGGAACUGCCUUUGAAACUGGCAAACUGGAGUGUGUGAGAGGAUAGUGGAAUUCCAGGGGUAGGAGUGAAAUCCGUAGAUAUCUGGAGGAACAUCAGUGGCGAAGGCGACUAUCUGGCACAUAACUGACGCUGAGGAGCGAAAGCGUGGGUAGCAAACAGGAUUAGAUACCCGAGUAGUC
This 465-nucleotide ribosomal RNA is filed under the name uncultured bacterium. Its description in RNAcentral is "partial 16S ribosomal RNA". It matches the Rfam family "Bacterial small subunit ribosomal RNA", at positions 338 to 795 of the family's 1533-position model. The record is from RNAcentral.